GACGAACGCUGGCGGCGUGCCUAAUACAUGCAAGUCGAACGAACCGCGACUAGGUGCUUGCACUUGGUCAAGGUGAGUGGCGAACGGGUGAGUAACACGUGGGUAACCUACCUCAUAGUGGGGGAUAACAGUCGGAAACGACUGCUAAUACCGCAUAGGACAUAGGAUCACAUGAUCCAGUGAGGAAAGGUGGCGCAAGCUAUCGCUAAGAGAUGGACCCGCGGUGCAUUAGCUAGUUGGUAGGGUAAAGGCCUACCAAGGCGAUGAUGCAUAGCCGACCUGAGAGGGUGAUCGGCCACAUUGGGACUGAGACACGGCCCAAACUCCUACGGGAGGCAGCAGUGGGGAAUCUUCCGCAAUGGACGCAAGUCUGACGGAGCAACGCCGCGUGAGUGAAGAAGGUCUUCGGAUCGUAAAGCUCUGUUGUUAGAGAAGAACAGCGCAUAGAGUAACUGUUAUGCGUGUGACGGUAGCUAACCAGAAAGCCACGGCUAACUACGUG
RNAcentral lists this ribosomal RNA (502 nucleotides) under uncultured bacterium. RNAcentral's name for it is "partial 16S ribosomal RNA". It matches the Rfam family "Bacterial small subunit ribosomal RNA", at positions 28 to 507 of the family's 1533-position model. The record is from RNAcentral.